AGAGUUUGAUCCUGGCUCAGAAUGAACGUUGGCGGCGUGGAUUAGGCAUGCAAGUCGAGCGAGAACCAAGAAAGCUUGCUUUCGAGGGGACAGCGGCGAAAGGGAGAGUAACGCGUGGAUUAUCUGCCUCCAGGUUCGGGAUAGCUGCGGGAAACUGCAGGUAAUACCGAAUAAUAUCUCCGGAUCAAAGGUGUGAUUCCGCCUGGAGAUGAGUCCGCGUCCUAUUAGCUUGUUGGUGGGGUAAUGGCCUACCAAGGCUGCGAUGGGUACCGGGCGUGAGAGCGUGGCCCGGCUCACUGGGACUGAGACACUGCCCAGACACCUACGGGUGGCUGCAGUCGAGAAUCUUCCGCAAUGGACGCAAGUCUGACGGAGCGACGCCGCGUGCGGGAUGAAGGCCUUCGGGUUGUAAACCGCUGUCAGUUGGGAGGAAAUCCAUAGAGGCUAUCCUCUAUGGUUGACCUAUCUUCAGAGGA
RNAcentral lists this ribosomal RNA (476 nucleotides) under uncultured Planctomycetota bacterium. RNAcentral's name for it is "bacterial SSU rRNA". It matches the Rfam family "Bacterial small subunit ribosomal RNA", at positions 8 to 488 of the family's 1533-position model. The record is from RNAcentral. Lineage: Bacteria; Pseudomonadati; Planctomycetota.